Non-coding RNA from Rattus norvegicus (Norway rat), 16172 nucleotides. NCBI's taxonomy places the organism in Eukaryota, Metazoa, Chordata, Mammalia, Rodentia, Muridae. The record is from RefSeq and is a predicted model, not a curated record.
UUUUAUUUUGUUUUGUUUUUGUUUUGUUUUUUUAGGGUCCCCGCUCAUGCGAAGUGACAAAAACUUCAUGGAAAUUAGAGGGAUCCGUUUUCAAUGUGAGGCAGGAACGGAGCAAACGCUUUGUACCGGGGAUCACUUUAAUUAGACUAGAAACAUGGGCACUGUUGACUUACUUGAGUCUUGCUGAACUCUUGUUACCCUAUCCGUUUGUUUAGAUAAAUUCCUGUCUUCAAAAAAUAACACACACAUGACUUGAAUAGAAGAAGCCUGUAUACCAUUUGCCCUCUGCCUCUGUGAGGUCUGUGAGGUCUGUGUCCAAGGAUUCAACCAAGGAUGGGCAAUCCUCUGGAAGGAAGCGGCAUUUUUACUGACUGUGUCUAGCCUAUUUUCAAAGGGUCAUUUCCCGAACAAUACAGUGUAGCAACUGCUUAGGCAGCAUUUACAUUGUAUUCGGUAUACAAGGGUAUCUGCAGAAAUCUAAAGUAUAUGGGGCAGGGUGGGGGGGCAGUUACAUACAGACUCUACUGUUCUGUGUAAGGGACUUGAGCAUCCACAGGCUUUGGUACCAUGGGGGAUGCUGGGAAGGACAGCUGUAUUUCAGCAUGUGUCCAUUUGUGAGGGCUGUAAUAACAUUAAUGCUAGCGAUGUUAGCCCUGUGCUAUUAGUGGUGCUCCGUACUGUGGUAUUAGAUGAGUAUAAAAGGCUAAUUAUCAAACAAUUACCACUCAUGAAAUGCUUCCCAUAUCCAGGCAGCGCGUGUGCUGUGUAGAUUAGGCACAGAGGUUCACUUCACCAUCACAACACUUCUGCUAAGCAGCGUUUAACUAUUAUCAACUUUUUACUGAUGGAGAAACCAAGGAUCAGGGAAGUCAACUGCUCCAGUUCUCACAGAGAGCAAAUGGAAGAGCUGUUCUCAAAUCCAGGCCCAGAGGACUCGGAAAACUUCUGCCUCCGGCACCACAGAAGACAGCAUCCCCGUCUGUCAAAAAGGGGCUGCUUCAAAUUCUAUUUCCAGCGAGGGCAUUUCGAGAUCCAAGGGUAAACUCAGGGGUUGGAGGACGGCCUGUCCUCCACAGCCAUCCUGGCCUUGUCCUGACAGAGAGCCGAGGGAAGUAGAGCUCACACCGGCCAGGGCAGUUGUAUAAAACUGAAAUGCACGUUGUUUCAGAGCUCCAGCAAAAUUUGGGAGCAAGGUAGAAUUUGUCUACUGUUCCGCCUUAAAAUAUUCAUGAAGCAAAGAAGCACUUCGGCAUUCAAUAGUUAGACGGCUAAAAUCUGCAAGUCGUGUUUACUGAUCAUGAAGGAAGGACAUGUUCCUAGAAGCACUGAGGUUCCAAUCAGCGAUCUUGCAAGUUGCCAUGUUACAGUGCAAAAACAAACAAACAAACAAAACAAACAACAAACAAACAAAUGAGACAACAGUGUUGCUGUUGCCUAGAGAAAAAAAAAAUCUUCCCCACCACUUUCUCUGCUGGAGAGAAAGGCUGAGUCAAAAUUAAGAAUGCAUCUAGGUUUCGCCUGCAAACCAGCUGUGGGAGAAUAAAAAGGCAUGGGGGAGGGGGGUAGCAACUUCUCCCUCAUUAGAAGAAUUGUUUUAAAUGGGUGUGAUGGUGCCGUAAAGGUUAGGUUUGACAGUUGUUAAUAUUUUGAUUGUCUUAAGAAACCCACACAGAGAGCCAGGGAAGGAAAGCGGAUGAACAAAAACGUGAGUUAAUGGUGGGGCCCCGUGUUGUUCUCAGUGCUCUGGCUGCAAGCGUUAUGAACAGAAUUCAAGCUGGGGCAUGCCUUGCUCUUGGAGUCAUUGGAAAGCUGUGUCCAGGGUGUCCCUCCCCCGGGGGUCACUGUCCACCUCUCACGAGGCUCCUGAUUAUCUCAGCACUAAACGAGGGGGCUAAGGGAGUGCUUCCCAGAGGGUGUCUGAUGGUGGGACAGACUUAAAGCCAGAGCCAGGUAGGGUAGAGACGCUGUGGUUGGUGUGUGUGUGUGUGUGUGUGUGUGUGUGUGUGUGUGUGUGUGUGUGUGAACUAGAGUGUCUACCGUCAUCCUGAAGUGGUGGAGUUGAGUGGGAAGAGACAAGAGAGGCUGGCAGCAGGCUGAGAUCCCAGAUGUACUCCUUCUGGGGUGUCACAAGGACAAGGGGAGGGUCUGCAUGCAAACUGAUGAGUAUGCAGGUAACGUGAGCCACCCCCCAGGAAGAACCCAAUAGACACUUCUGGAGAGAAUGUACCCUGAGAUCUGUUCUGAUCCCUUAUUUUCUCCCAAUAACUAUUAUGGUUUGGAUCUACAAUGUGACCCCAAAGCUUAUGAGCUGAAGGCUUGGCCUCUAGUGUUGCAAUAUUCAGAAGUGGGGCCCAGCUAACCAGACCACGAAGGUCCUGGUCUCAUGAAUGGGCUGAUUCUUUGGUGGGUGCAUACUUCCUGGGCUCUAGGGAUGCUGGGGUCGGGGGAAGCUGUAGAAAGUAGAGGCUGGUGGGAAGAAGCAGGUUACUGAGGGCUUAUUCUCGAGGUGACAUUGUGUGCCCUUCCUUCUGCUGUUAUGAGGAGAGUGGCUUGGCUCUAACACAUGCAGACCAUGAGGCUCUGAAUCAUCACAAUGGAGUCAAGUGGCAGCGACUCCUCUGAAGCUGGGAACUAAGAUUAAUAAAGCCCUGCCUGCUUUGAGGUGUCCGCCUCAAGCACUGAGUGAUGCUCCAGUUGAAAGUGCAAGGCAGGCACCGCUCCACCAUUAUCCCACUGUAGAGUGCGGGAAGCUGGAGUUCAGGGAGGUUAAGUGAUUUGCUCUGUCACACGCUGAAACUUUGAACCCGUGUGUACUCAUCCCAGGGCUGCCUUUCCUUUGCUAUGUCUUGUUUGACCUUGGCUUGGUUACUUCCGGCUGCACGGGACUCAUGAGUCCUUUGAGACUGAUGGUAACAUUGCAAAGGGGAGCUUUUUGCUUUUUCUUGUUUUCACCAGGUUUUACGGUCUCCACCUCUAACUUCAGCCUUAGUUCCUUGUUCCGCCACCGGCACCUGCAGAGACGUAUUCUAUCUCCCACGCCAAUCUUCGAAGCUACACAUGGCUCCUGCUUUUGGUUCUCUCUCCUCUGAGCUGAGACAUCCUCAGUGUAUCCCUUUUCCUUCCUAGCAGAGGAUUUCAAGAUCCUCUACUUAAUCAGGCCUUGGAGGACAGUCUAGUCUCUGUCCCCAUGGUGUUUCGCAGGGUGCAUCUUGUGUAGACAUUCCACCUCAGCUGAUUUCGGAUGCAGGUUAACUCCUCCUGCCAGCAGGAGAUGGGGUCCCAAGACCCAGAGCUGAAGGCAGCCUUCCUGUGCUUUGGAUUCUUGGCCUGGAGGCCAGUGCUCUGAGGAGCCCUCUACCUCUGCACCAGAGUUCAUCUCCUUCACUAUCUCCACCCCUGACAGACCCGGCACAGUGCACAGUUGAGCCAAGUGCCCCUUGAGUAUGCCAAAGCUGUUGUGUGGCUCUGAGAGACUACCAGUGAGUUACAACUGCACAGAUGAUAGAUAGGCAACCACUCCUGCAUUGCUGGAAUAAAACACCUUACAAAGGAAAACUUAAGGAGGUAAGGGUUUAUUGUGGCUCGACAUAGGUGGUUACAGUUCAUUGUGGGAGCAGGAGUAUGAGGUGGCUUUGCUUCAGUCAGGAAGCAGAGAGAGAGAAAUGCUGGGAUUCAGCCCCCCCCACCCCCCACUUUUUUAAAUUUAGGAUCCAGGUCCCUAGCCUGUAUUCAGGAUGGGUCUUCCUGCCUCAGUUAAGCUAGUCUAGACACCCAGAGACAGUCCCAGAGGCUUGCCUCCUGGGUGAUCGAUCCUAGGUCUUGUCAAGUUAAUGAUCAAUAUUAGUCAUCACUUAAAGACAAGAUGGGGUUGGGGAUUUAGCUCAGUGGUAGAGCGCUUUGACUAGCAAGUGCAAGGCCCUGGGUUCGGUCCCCAGCUCUGAAAAAAAAGAAAAAAGAAAAAAAAAAAAAGACAAGAUGUUCCUGCAUCCAGGGGCUGGGCCUGCGAUCGGGCCUCUGAACUGCUGUGGUGCUGUGGCGCUGUGGGUGGGGCAGAAACUAAGCGCCAGGAGUAAAAGCAAUACAUGCCUCCGUGGGAGCAUGGUUGCUUUUCUAGCUUUCACGAGUGAUGGGGCUACAGAUAUUGUAGUCCCCAUUUUCUGGUGGCCAAGAGGCUUCAUUAGGACCGGGUUGGAGCUUCUGCUGAGGCUUCCACUCCACCGCCAUCCUGCCUCACAUUCUCUGGGGCAGGUCCGCUGGUCCCCUCAAUGGCGUUCCUACUGCAUUCUGUACCCCACCAGGUUCAGGUGCACUGCUGACCCAGCCUCAGGCACAGUUUGACAUGCAGAGGUGUUUUUCCCUGUGCAUCCACUGACUUGCUAGCAGCUUCCAUGCUGCAGGGGAAUAGCACAGUCUGGGGGAAGAGGGGAUCCACUCAACAUUAAGGACACCGCCCACCAUGCCAGGGAGAGCUGGUUCUCCAGCUGGAGGGGGUGGGGAGUAAAGCUCUGUUCACAAGCAGCCCUGACUUGCAAGGGUGCAGGGGUGGACGGGUGAGUGUGAGGCCGGGUCCUACUGCUCUGAACUGCUCAGAUCCGGCCCUCUCCCACGCCCCGCACAUUAGCCUCUGCCUGGAGAGUUGCCUGGAGAGUGAAGGAAGAAAUGGAAAUUGCAUGAAAAGAGGAGGAAAGAGAGCAGCUGGAGAAUAUUGCCGACCAUUUGGUGUGAUAACCCAGGGCUCUGGGGAAUGCCAAAGCGGGCCUUCGUUCUCAUCUCUCAUUUCUUUUAAUCUAGCAGAUAAUUAGAGGGAAAUCAAAUCCCUCCCCACAGCCAAAGAUUAACCUGUCACGGCCGUAGCUCUUCCUACUUACUGCACCACCGCUUCUCCCACACUUUCUCCCUAAACAGCGUGAGCACACACACACACACACACACACACACACACACACACACACACACACACACACACCCCUCUCACACAGUGGACCACUUACUUCAAACUAUUCAGAUUGGACAUUUCCCAGUGCAAGGGCUCUCCCAGGAAUAAGCAAGAUUCUCCCUCCCUCCAAAGCAAGAACUUUUCAUUGCUUUGCAGAUUUAAAAAAAAAUAUAUAUAUCCAACUGAAAAACUCCCUUUUAUGGAUGAAGGAAGCAGAGUGCAGAGUGAGGAGACAAAACCUUUUAUGGCUAUAAAUGACAGAGCAGGGAUUUACCUCUGAAGCAUCUGACUGCAGAGCCCUGUGCCUACCCACUCUGCUCCCCAUCUACUCAAAAAAGCCAUGAGUGGCUCUCUGCUCUCUUCCCUCAGAGGACGUGGUAAUUAUAUGCAGGGGAAACAAACCCCUGCCUAACCCUUGAUAAAAAUCCUGCCCACCAAGGGUCUAACUUCUCUCUACACCCCAGCUUAUGCUUCAGCCCUUCCGGUUUGGGACCUGACUGAAAGCCUAGACACUUCCUGGUGGCCUGAGAUUCUUUCUCACACAGAGUUACCUGCUCAUUUGCUUAGCCCACAUAAAUCGAGAGACAAGACAUCGUUCUAGCUCACAGUGAAGAAACAAGACAGGUCUCCAUUUUAUUCACUGAGGCAGUCUCUUUCUCUGAACCCAGACCAGCCUGCUGUCCCACAGAGAUCCCUCCUCCCUGGAAACACAGGUGACCUCUACCAUACUCUCUACCACACAGGUGGCCAUAUCACACCACGCUGUUUUUUUUUGUUUUUGUUUUUGUUUUUGUUUUUGUUUUUGUUUUUGUUUGUGUGUGUGUGUGGGGGGGGGUUCUGGAGUCUGAAUUUCCAUCCUCAGGGUUUAAUGUGACAAGCACUUUAUCCACAAUGUUAAUGUCCAUCCAGUUUCCCAUCUCCACUCUUAUAGGGGGAGGGUCACCUGCAUACCAGUGGUAGAGGGACCCAGAUGCUGCCUGAUGUCCCUCUGGAAGAACACUCCUCAGGAAAUCCACUUUCCCAGCAGCCUCGAAGUGGCUCCCUCAGCAGACUACACAUAGGAAAGGCUUACUCCUCAUUCAACGGUUCCACAUUUUGAGAUGGAAAUAACUUGGUGUGUUUCACACAGAGAAACUCGUGUAUCAUUAGCCACCUCCUGUCUGUCUUCCCAUGAAACCGCAGGCACAUAUUUCUAGUUUACUGACAACCCGUCCGAGCCUGAGACCUUUGAGGACCAGAGAGUCGCCUUAGGUGCAAACCACAAUGUCCCCAACCUUUGGAGGGUUGGGUGAUGGAGUCUCCAACUUUGGCCUUAGAUAAUAAAAUUCUGGCCCUUUUUCUCCAGGAAUGGCACACACAUACACAAGAUCCUGUGUCACCUCUGGGCUCCUUCAAGACCAUGCACAUUCCGCUCUGAAAAAAAAAGGAGCUCUGGAUUCUUUCUUUUGACACCAGGCUGCCCUCCUCUGGGCUCUGGGUUUCCAUGGCUCUUCCUUCUGCCUCCCUCCUCUCUUAGAUCUACUUCACACACCUGCCUUUCCAGCCUCCCUGAACUCCUCAGAGCUCGCUGCAGAGCCUCCUGCGGUGGCUGUUUCCUCCCCCGGGGACGUCCUUCUUCUUGUCUUUGUAUUUCAAGCCCUACUCUGGCUUUACACCUCAGCUGAAGUGCUGUCUCUUCAUCUACUUAAACAGUUCUUCCUGCCAGGAAAUGCUGUCUCCAUAGCUCUUCCUCCUUGACAAUUUCUCCUUGCAUUCGCUGUGCUUAGCCUGCUCCACAUUAUAGGUCUCAGUGUACGGGUCUCGCCUCCCCUCCUGGGCUGUGAGCUAAUUGGCUUCUGGCGUCCUCCUCUUGACACACAGUAAGUGCUCAACAAACACUGGAGAUAAAGCAGUCUCGUUUCUCUAAGUCACCGCUGAUGCAAAUGAUAUGCAAACGAACAUUCCAACAGCGGCCUUACCUUGACCCAGACUUCUUCUAUGUAGAUGACACCUCCAGAGGCACUUGGGAUCUGUGUAUGCGGCUCCACCGGGGUCAGCGUAAAGAAUUCUUUGGCAUCAGCUGAACUUCGGGGUUUUAAUCAGAGAUCAGCUGUGGUGUAGAUAGAUGGACCAAUCUACAGGACAGAGAGACGGCUCCUCUGGAAGACUCUUUCCAGAAGCAUGAUCACCGUCAGAGGGUGCCGCCCCCUUUUUAGGAUGGCAUGCUUCCUAAAGUGCGCAUAAUUCUGGAGAGGUGGCUCCGGAGUUAAGAAUGCUGGCUGCUUUCUCAGACAACUGGGGUUCAAUUCCUAGCACUCACAUGGAUAAAAUAAAAAUCAUAAGUCUUUUUAAAAUAUGAAUACGUCUUUCCUAUUAUUAUUCAGUACAGCCAAUGCAAGUGGGAGGAGUCAGUCUGUGAGCUUUCUGAUCCGUGUGCUUCCUCUACUCUUCUUGAGGACAGGACACAGUCACAGUCCUCGGUCACUCCCAGCUAUGCCAACGGUGUGCCUGGGGAGGUUCCUCUUCUCAGUUCUCUCAGAAUGCUUCACCUUUGUCCUGGGUUCCAUGUAGAAUCUCUCUGCUUUGGAGUUUCUACCUGUUGGUUCUAAUGGCGGAGGAUUCCAGAGACAUGCUUGUCAAGGUAAGAAGGAAAGAAUGGCCGUCUCCAAUUGCACUGAGGCAUCAGGCAGACUCCCUCUGUCUUUUACAGCAAACAGGGUUGUUAUCAUGGUGGGAAGGGGUAAAUAAAGUGGGAGUAGACUGCAACAAGUUACUGUGGGAAAAGGGCCCUCUGGGCUUCCGUAAGUCAUGUUGCAAGCAGCUGUAGUUGAAUCAGAGGCAAGCGAAGGUAACCCAGCUUCCAGGCAUCGCAAGCUCCAUAAAAUCUCCUCAGAUUCCUCCAUGCCUCCAUUCCUGGCACCCUUUAUAAACUCUGGGGUCCCAAAGGGUUGUAAUUUCCAAGGAGAGUCCAGUUACCAGACAGAACGACAUCCAGGAAGGAAGGGCAAGUAAAAUGGCCCCUCUGGACCGAGUCUCGACUUUUUCCUCAGACUAGGACCUCAUCUGAGAACAGCUGGGGACUAUGUCUGAUAGAUUUUCAAAACAAAGACUUGGACAACCAAAAUCUAUAUAAUAGACUAUAUAAAGAUUAUAAUCUAUAUAGAUAAUAAUCUAUUAAAACUCUUAACACAUGCUAUAGUAUGGCUGAAUCUCAGGGACAUUAUACAAAGGAAAGAAACCAAUUACAAAAGAGUGCUUAUUGUGAAACUCUGUUAAAACAAAACAAAACAAAACAAAACAAAACAAAACAAAACAAAACAACCUACCAAGGGCAGGAAAUCCAUGGCAGAUAGGUAGCCCCCAAGGAUGGUAGUGGUCAGCAGGGGGUGGGGAGGAGAGAGAUCGGGGAUGUCGGAAGUGCUUACAGGGAUGGGUUUCUCACAGAGUGACAAACAUGUUUGGAACCUGGUAGACUGAUAUCCCUAUAACACUGGAGAUGUACCAAAUGUCACUAAAUAUCACUGGAUUGUACACUUUUGGGGAAGGGGUUGCUUUGGAUCAAAUCUAAGGCCUCAGACAUGCUAGGCGACUUUCCAUAAUCGAGUCACACCUCAGGCCCUCAAGGUGAAUGCUCUCAAAGUUUACAGUAUAUGAAUUUUACUUCCACAGUCUUAAGAGUUAGCCUCCUUAGUUCCAUGUUCUUUGGGCUCUUCCACUGAGCCCCAGCAGGGACGGAAAUCAGUAGUGUCUAGUUACUAAAAGGUUUCCGGUCAACUUAGCUUGCUGUGGUGGUUGUCUCCCUGCUUUACUCCAAAGGUAAUUUCUCCUAACCUCCCACACACACGAGCCCCAGCGACAUCUUGCUGCCUGGUGUCUGCGGUAGUCCAUGGUGAUCUCCCCACCUCAGAUUUAUGCUCCAUCACUGGUCAUAAACUCACAAUUCUGCAAGGAUAUAACGACCAAUCCGUGCUUUGGCUUGUUUCCUCGCCGAGCAGUCAAGUGUACGUUAGAGACUUACUGUCAACAGUAUGGUGGCACUUCACCUAAGACCCCAGGCUCAGGGAGCUGAGACACGAGAACCAAGUACAAGUUCCAGGCCAGCAUGGCCCACACAGGGAGGCUGCUUCUCAAAAACCAAUGGCAAACCAAAUUUAGAAAGCGCCCACUAAAUUGUUUCAUUUGGAUGUAGUUAUCGUUGAUCUAUUUACAUGCCCUUAUCUAUUAUGUAGACUCAAAACAGCCAUGCGACUUGCUGAAGCCCUUACUUGUAACUCACUACAAAGUGAAGACUUGCAUGUUGUCUCUUAGCCACAAAAGAAAGCAUUUUUUUUUCUUGUUUGAGACACCAUCUGAUUCUGUAGCUCAGGACUGGGCAGGAAUUCACUAGGCAGAGCAGGUUUUCCUUUGUUCCUCGGCCUCAUGAGGAUUACGGGCAGAAACCCUCAUGCCCAGCAAAGGAAGUACCGUUAGCUCUGUGCAGAAGGCAGUCACUGGGGUCAGGCUCCUCUGCACACAGAACUCCUGUGACUGCUCCCAGUCUCACAGGAGCAGUCCUGGGGGUUACAGGAACCAGGUUGUAUGGAGGUGCAGGGUGCAGGGUGUAUAGUACCCUACGUGCUGGCACCUUUCUAAUGGUUCUUCUGCACCUUUCCCGGGAAGCCUGGGGGUCUCAGGACAUCUGCUUAAUUAAGAUUGAGUGGGGCAAAUGAAAUGCCCCCACCCCAGCUGUUUUGAUGACAAACACCCCAGGAAGGAACUAAAAAGGACCAUACCACGGGCUCUAGAACUGGGCAUAGAGACACACACUUUUAAUCCUCCUGCUUCCGGGGAGGCAGAAACCUGAGGGUUGUGAGUUCAGGGCUUGCCUGGGCUUCAUAGUGAGACCCAAGUCAAACAACAGCAAGAGGAAAUGGAAAACUCUGCUACUGCAGGUAAAUUCCAGCCUGGAGUUCUACUGUGACAUUGCUCAAUACAGUUACAAUGGCGUGGUCUCAGAACUGCAGCCACAGGCUUUGGCCUCACAGCCCUACACAUUUUUAUGUUUCCCCACCCUGUGCUCCAUCCCGUUACUGCGAGCCAUAGGAACUGAGAAUAAUUUCAGCCUCAAGCCUGGUAAAGUUACCUCAGUAACAAUUGUUUAUGUGUUCAUGCACUUUGCAGACUGCAGUGUGCUCUUGUGCACGCUGGCUAAACAUAAAGUAAAAAGGUGAAAUUAAGGGAGAAGUCAGUAAAUGGCACUUAGCGAGUCACGCAUCUCCUUAUGCUACAGGUAAGAAAGAGGGAGAUGAAAGGGUUUCUAGAUUAGAAAUGGAGCCGGAGCCCUAAAAAUUCUAUCCCUGGAUAUCAAUACAAACGUCAAUGCUUUUUAAAUUAAAAAUGAGACACUGCUGCUUAUGACUUGACAAGUUAUAAAAUGCCUCUUUCGUCCUUCCCAAUCAAUGGUCCUGGGCUCCUUGGCAAUUACAUCUCAAAUCUUCAGCUCUGGUGGAUUGUGUAGGUAACGCGAAACAAGGAAAGGGAAGAGGGGUGCCCGUCUCGCCGUGCUGCUUUACCGUGAAGGGCAGAGCCUCUGCUCCUCUGUGCUUGGUGACAAAGGUUAAAGAAUGCUCGGGCCUCCUACCCGAGUACUAACUGGCCCUGACUGUUUAGCCUCUGAGCUAGGAGGAGACGGGCGCAUCCAGGGCGGUAUGGCUGUAGGAGAGACCUCCGACGGGCUGUCUAAUCCCAAGUGAUCAGCCCUAGGCACACAUAUGUAGCAGCAACACUGAUAUGCUUGGUAGAUUACAUAUAUGAUUUACAUAUACAUAUAUAUGAUGAUCGAAGAGGAGGUAGUGACUAUUAAGUUAGAGUGAUGGUGGGACGGGCACGUGAGGAGCUGGAGAGGGUGAGUGAGAAGUGGAAAGAACGCAAAUAUGGCACCCAUUCAGGAAAUUUGCAAAAGAGAAAAAAACCUUUAACUUAAAAUUUGAAAGUAUGCUCGAGCCACACCAUGGACUUUGAACUUCUUAUUUCCAGUGAAGACGUCAGAAUACCGAUGUGUCAAGGUCAUCCUAAAAUAAUCUGUGCCACCAUGCUGUAGAAAGCCACCUACUUCUCUCUGUUGGGAAUCUCAUCUUGGCUGCUGAGAUCAAUAACCAUUACAGAAAAGAUUUUUAAGGAGUGUGCUCUAUGGCGAUUAAUCUGACUAAAUUGCAGCUCUAAUUGGUGUUUUUUUCUGAGGGUGAGUAGUGAGAGUAGCAGUAUUUAGUCGGUGGCCCUAUCAUUUGUCCUCUGUCGGGCCAUAGAUGCUCUGAGGACCUGGAGGCCCAAGGACCUCAUCUCCGAAGCAGGAGUCAAUGGAGGCCACACAGACAGAACUGGCUGUUGGUGAUGACAUCACUCUCAGGACAGAUCAGGGGAAUGGUUACAACCCAGCCUGCCUGAGGAUAAUAUGACCAAUCUUAAAGACUCACAUUUCCCGGAAGUUCUCAAGAAGUUACUUCACCUGCCUGGGACACAGCAGAGACAUGAAGGAACCGGCAGAAAGCAGUAACACACUAGAGACUUACUGGAUCUCCCUUUUCUUCUUCAUCGGGUCCAUGAGGCGCAGCGUGUCUCUGAUCACGGCCACCUUCACUUCUUCGUCCACCAGGCUGGGGAUAUUUUCAAACACUCCUGGAGAAAGCUUGGAAGAUACUUUCCUGACGGUGACACCAGAGCAUCAAACCAGGCUGGAAAGCCACUCCAAACGUGGGACCCUGUGCAGUGACUCCACACAUUUCCCCACCACCACAGGCCGGGCCGCACUCAAGGCUCAUUCCAGCACCAACUGCUGGGCACCUGUGCUUGAAUCCAGCACCGACUGGCACCAGGUGAAGCUCGGCCAACCAGCCCCCCCUUGCCUCUGAACCCUUCCUUAACAAGUCUGUCAGACCAAGUGCCCCUUGCUCUCUCCCUUUCAUAGUCCUCCACCUGCUUAACUUCUCAUCCUUGAGAUCCUUCCUCAUGAGGUUCAGACUUGAACUCCACAGACCUCAGAUUCUGGGGUGGGGGAGGGGGUCUCUAUCUCUACAGAAGGAAGAACAUUAGAACAUUUCCAACAACAUUGACACAACCCUGGGGUCUCAAAAAAAAUAAUGCAGGAGGACAAGUGGAAAGAAAAGAUAAAGGUACAGUGUAGACACCUCUUCAUCUAUGGACCUCAGAGGGAGAGAUGACAGGAAUCCAUUUGCUCAUCCGUACAGAAUAUGCAUUAGUUAAAUGAUAAUUAUCAAACUGUAUUCAUCUAUAUUAAUGAAAUCAAAGUCUGGAUGGCCAUUUUGGGGAAUGAUUCAAAAUGAACUUCUGUCUUGGUGAAGGGCAAUCAGGAUGAGGAGCUGGGAAAAAUCGCCCUUGGACUAUUUUUCUUCCUGUGGUCAUGAAAAGUCAGGGAUGGAAAGCAGUAGAUAUGCUGCAUGGAUCACGGACCUGCUUAAUAAUAAAUGACACGUGGGUAUGAGUGAUGAGGCCUUUAAGAGAUCUGGUGACAUCAUCAGGGUAACUUUGGACUUGGCCCGAGCCACGUGCUGCAGGUGAGGCCGAGGACAAUGGCUGGUGCCAGCGCUGGUCAUCCUUAACUGUCUGCCCCACCUUUCUGCUGCACUUUAAAAGUACGGAUUUACAUUUUUUCAAAGGAGGUAGACACUUUUCUGUCCCAGGCCCGGUGGACUGGUAAAUGAACAAAAACAUUGAGAGCUGGAGGAGGGGGCAGUUGAUGCCGUCCACUCAAGAAUCAGAAUUUGGAAUGUAUUGAAUCUUAUGUGCUUUGGAAUCAGAAAGUCCUGGGCUCCCGUCUUAGCCCAGUUUCCCCCACCAGCUCUUUAACAGGUUUUUACUCUCUGAGCCCAUUACCUUGUUGAAAAAUGGGCAUAAAAUAGAGGCCCUACAGGGUCAUGAGUCACGGCUAUGAAAAGAAGUACCUGAGACUGUGCUCACCAUAUAGAAGGUGACCUAGGCUAGCUCUCUUUCCAGUUUCCAACUGAGCCAUCAGCAUGAAAUUGGAAUGGCAUGGGUAUGCUGUAGAAUCGCAAGGAGCCACUCAUGUUCCAGCUCUGCUUUUGUGACUGAAGGCAAGCUUCUCAGUGCCUCUAGGCCCCACUGUCUUUACCUGUAAAAUGGGAAUGAGAGCUUUCACACAUUGGUGCGAUAUUUACCUAAUAGUUUCUACAACCAAGCACCGUCAAGUCAGACUCAGAACGGGAUACAUUCUGCAAACACCAGAUGGACCGUGUGCCUAAGGAAGCUCAAGCAAUGUUAUAGCUUUCCUAAGUUUAAGGACGUCUGAAUUAUUUUCCUCUCAACAAGUUUGCUGAUGAACUGUCUUGGACUCAAAGGACUGGGAACAACUUUGAUUUGGAUCUUGCCAUUAAAAUCCCAGACUGUCUAAACUGGAAAAAAAAAGUCUGGAAUGUUCUUGGUCCACAACUUCCGAGGAUGGUGUUCUUUUGGAAGGAGGAAGCCGGACAGAUUGGAUCAACUUUGAUGCAUUUUUAAUAUGUUACUUCCAGGAAGAGACGUUUGUGUAUUUUUCUUUUUGUCUUUUUUUGAGAACCCAUUAAUCUUGUCUAGACCCUUCUCUUAGGAGGCCCUAGGAACCUGUUGCUUGGGAAGGGAAGGAGCUCCCUCUAAGUCUGUCCUACAGUUGCAGCACGGCAAGCGUUGUCAAAUGGAGAGGUGGCUUUUCAGUUGUGUGAUCUGCAUUAUGGAGCCUUUCAACCAACACUUACAUGGUGAGGCCUCCAACCUGAAGGCUGCCCUGGCAUUUAGAACCAUCUGGGCUUCACUGUUGACCUCUAGAAGCUCAGACUGAGGUGGAGAGGGUCCUGAGUGACUGACUGUAGACUCACACAAAGACUUCGAGCUACAUUCCACAGAGAGAAUGCUCUCUUCUGAGUGAGCUAUAGAUCACCCAAAUCAACUAUUCUCAACAAAGGAGGUCUGGGACUCCUCAAAGCAUACAUGUAACUACCAAUGGCCUAUGAACUCUAAUGUUCCAAUGAGUCCCAUCUCCCAGGAUUCAAGAGUUUGUGCAACCCCCAACUAGCUCUACCCACUUGAGUGAGAGCUAGGUUUAUUAGUACCUGUUUCUGACAGAAAGGCAGAAAUGAUGGCGUGCCACUUUCAACAUUAAGUUAAAAAAAGGAUAGUGGCUUCUGUUUUGGGGUGCUCUUCUCUACUCUGAAAGAAGCCACCAGGCAUGCAAGUGAGCUUCCCUGAGGAGAAGGAUAGAAUUGACCUGCCACCUGCAGUCUAAGGGCUAAGGACCUAAGGGCUGUCAACACUGAGUGAACUUGGAGGAGGACCUUCCUCAGGCAGGCAGGCCCUGAGAUGACUGACAUCCUGGCCAGCCUGGAGACUGGAGCCAAAGACACAUCAAAUACUCCCAGGUUGUUUUGUUUUGUUUUGUUUUGAGAAGGGGGAGGGACCUCACUGUGUAGCCCUGACUAACCUGGAAUUUGCUAUGUAGACCAGACUAAUCUCUAACUUGCAGAGAUCUACCUGUCUCCUCAGUGUUAGAAUUAUACCCCUAGAUCUUUAAAUUUUUAUUAUGCUGGGGUUUUUAGAUUUAUUUAUUUUAUUGUUUUCUGUGUAUUAGUAUUUUGCUUGCUUGUACAUUUGUGCACCGUGUGUGCCUGGUGCCUGCUGAGGUCAGAUGUUAAAGGAGUUGUGAGCCUGCAUGUAGGUACUAGGGAUUAAAACCAUCAAACAAAUGCUCUUACAGGCUGCGCCAACUCUCCAGCCCCUCCCUGUAGUUUCUUGAUCACCAGGAAUGCUGAGAUCACGAAGGAAGGCUGUUUUGGGCUGCUCAUUUGUCCUCAGUGGUAGAUAACGAGCAAAGCAUCCUUUUCCUCUACAAUCUACACUGCUUCCUGUAUUCCUUACCCAACCAUCGAUCGAGUCAAAACUCCUCCCUUCACCUUACAGCUGCCUGGUCACCAGCUCCCACAGGAGUUUUCUAGAUCUGUCCAGUUCCACUUCUGAAACCCGGCUCUCAGCUCUCACCUAUCUGAUUUCACACUCAUACUUUUAAAUUAAAUUAUCUGGUGUGAGAUGGCAGGGUAACUCCUAGAAUGCAGGUAGAACACUACUCCUCCUCUGCCUCACUUCUGCCCAUAGAGGUCCAAGCCCUGUGGCGUGCCCCUCAGUUAAGGGUCUCUCACAGCAUCCUUACCUCCUCUCACUCCUGCUCAUCGCGGUUCUAAUCACACAGCUCUAGCUUGCUUUAAUUUGCUGUGUCUCUCCGACCCUCUUCUCUUCUCUUCCUCCUGGAUGGCACUAUUUCUUUGUCACUCAAAGCAACUCAAAAUAAAGCUCUGUGGUCUCCAGGGCUCACAUUUUUGAGGAGAGAGGACCAUGAGCAAGGUAAGAACACAGAGCCUGGCACAGGGGUAGAGGCCAGGGAAGGCCUUCCUGAGGAGGAAUCUUUUGUUAGCCACUGUCUUUUGACUCACACAGCCUCUCACAGAAUGUGUGUGUGUGUGUGUGUGUGUGUGUCUGUCUGUCUGUCUGUCUGUCUGUCUGUGUACAUGUCCUUCUUCCUUUCAGUGGAAUCAGUCUUUUUUCCCUGGCUGCUGUAAGGUUGUUCUUAUCAUUACUGGUUAUUCACAGUUUGAUUAUAAGUCUUAUGGUGGUGUGUGUGGGUUGGGGUGAUGGGUUGGGGUGGGGGUGUAUGACGUGUGUCCUGUUUGAAGUUUCUUGGUGUUUUUGCUUUGUUUUAGUUUGUUUUUUUUUUAAUCUUUUGUUUUGUUUUAGCUUCUUGGAGAAUGAACUUCUGUUAUGUUUAACCGUAUUUGGAAAGUUUUCACUACCCGUUCUUUCCGUGUUCUCUGUACUUUCUUUCCUCUGCUGUCCUGGGACCCAGAUGAACGAGUGUGAGGUCUCCAGGUCUGUUCCGUGAUUUGCUUCCCUGUGCUCCUCUGUGUAGUUUUGCAUGGCUCUGCUGGUGUCUUCAAGGUAACUGCUACUUUCUUCAGUUUGUCAUGAAUCCCAGUCAGUGAAACCUCACAUCACUAACAAGAUUCCAUUUUGGUUGUUUUCUUACUGCUUCUUUAUUUUUCUUUAAGAUGGGGUAUCACUACACAGCCCGGGCUGGCCUCCAUCCCUCGGCCUCGGCCUCAGCCUCAGCCCCAGCCUCAGCCCCAGCCUCAGCCUCAGCCCCAGCCCCAGUCCCAGCCCCAGCCUCAGCCUCAGCCCCAGCCCCAGCCUCAGCCUCAGCCUCAGCCUCAGCCCCAGCCCCAGC